GACGAACGCUGGCGGCGUGCUUAACACAUGCAAGUCGAACGGAAAGGCCCUGCUUUUGUGGGGUGCUCGAGUGGCGAACGGGUGAGUAACACGUGAGUAACCUGCCCUUGACUUUGGGAUAACUUCAGGAAACUGGGGCUAAUACCGGAUAGGAGCUCCUGCUGCAUGGUGGGGGUUGGAAAGUUUCGGCGGUUGGGGAUGGACUCGCGGCUUAUCAGCUUGUUGGUGGGGUAGUGGCUUACCAAGGCUUUGACGGGUAGCCGGCCUGGGAGGGUGACCGGCCUCAUGGGGACUGAGGUACGGCCCAGAGUCGUACGGGGGGCAGCAGUGGGGAACAUUGCACAAUGGGAGGAAGCCUGAUGCAGCAACGCCGCGUGCGGGAUGCCGGCCUUCGGGUUGUAAACCGCUUUCGCCUGUGACGAAGCGUGAGUGACGGUAAUGGGUAAAGAAGCACCGGCUAACUACGUG
RNAcentral lists this ribosomal RNA (468 nucleotides) under uncultured bacterium. RNAcentral describes it as "partial 16S ribosomal RNA". It matches the Rfam family "Bacterial small subunit ribosomal RNA", at positions 28 to 507 of the family's 1533-position model. The record is from RNAcentral.